CCCCCACCACCUCCCCCUCUUCUUCUUCACAAGCUCAUCCCCCCAAUCCCCGCCCCCUUUUUCGUCACAAGAAAACCAGAACAAGCCCGGAGUCAUCGUCGCUCGCUGGAGGAGCACCACCGUCGAGCGCUGCUGUUGCCAGCAAGAACUCUGGCAGCCUCCUCUCCCGGAGCCGUCGUUUCCGUGGAAGGCAGAGCCGCGGCAGUCCGCCACCUCCUCUCUCGUUUUAUCUCUCGAAACCCACCGCCAUGGCUCCAAUUGUUGAUCCCAAACUCACAAACCUACCGAGAGAUUUGGUGAAAUUUGGGGAGAAAGUGAGGGCGAGUGCAGGGGCGUCCAUGGCGAGGUCGCCGAGGGUAGGGAGCGCCGAGGGCGAGGGCGGGGACGACGACUUCGGCGAAGGCAGGGGCGUUGAGAGUAAGGGCAGCGAGACAUGCACCCAAAUCUUUCAACCAUCUUUUCAAACCAAACCCAGCUGCGUCGAAAUUGAAUCCAAGCUCCACCUUGUUCUUUGUCUCUGCGGCGGCUCUGGUAGCACCUGGCUAAUCCCUUUCAUGGCCAAUCACUUGGUGAAGAAGAUCACCCAACUAAACGAGAGCUCCAAGAAUAUCGAUGCUUUGCAGUUGAAAUUGGGAGGGUAAUUUUGUAAACCUAAAAUCUAACCAAUAACACUGUACAAUCUUGAUUAUAAAACUAGGGGUGAGCGGUAGAUGUAUAAUAAAUGUGAAACAGUAAAUUUAGUGCGGGCCUUGCCCUAAAUGCGGGCUUGAG
Long non-coding RNA from Salvia miltiorrhiza (redroot sage), 771 nucleotides. RefSeq lists it as uncharacterized. The record is from RefSeq and is a predicted model, not a curated record. NCBI's taxonomy places the organism in Eukaryota, Viridiplantae, Streptophyta, Magnoliopsida, Lamiales, Lamiaceae. The transcript has 2 exons.